AACGUGCAUUAGUGCAGAUCUUGGUGGUAGUAGCAACUAUUCAAAUGAGAACUUUGAAGACUGAAGCGGAGAAAGGUUCCAUGUGAACAGCAAUUGGACAUGGGUUAGUCGAUCCUAAGAGACAGGGAUGUUCCGCACACGCAGGCUUUGCCUCGUCUCUCGAAAGGGAAUGGGGUUAAUAUUCCCCAACCAGGACGUGGAUACUGUAUGGCAACGUAAGAGAAUUCGGUGACGCAGGGGGGAGCCUUGGGAAGCGUUGUCUUUUCUU
This 268-nucleotide ribosomal RNA is filed under the name Schmidingerella taraikaensis. RNAcentral's name for it is "partial Eukaryotic large subunit ribosomal RNA". It matches the Rfam family "Eukaryotic large subunit ribosomal RNA", at positions 1431 to 1701 of the family's 3401-position model. The record is from RNAcentral. Lineage: Eukaryota; Ciliophora; Spirotrichea; Tintinnida; Rhabdonellidae.